RNAcentral lists this long non-coding RNA (254 nucleotides) under Dasypus novemcinctus (nine-banded armadillo). Its description in RNAcentral is "lncRNA (ENSDNOG00000052136.1)". Lineage: Eukaryota; Metazoa; Chordata; Mammalia; Cingulata; Dasypodidae. The record is from RNAcentral.
CUGGUCAUAAUCUCCUCCCCUUUUUUGUGAACCCUAUUUCUAGCCUGUCCCAAUGUUAGCUAGGAGGACUCCAUAGACUUCCUUAAACAUUUUCUGUACUUUGGGUAUCCUCAUUUAAGCUUCAUACAUCAGGGUAUUUCCUACAGAAAACUUCACCCAGCCUAUAUGCUGAGGAAGCCGACUGUUGUCAUUUAAGUGCUUUCAGUUCCAUAAGUCUGCCACCGGCUCUGCUACAAAUUGCCAAGCUUGCUGAC